AGUAAAAAUUAGCUACAUAAAUGUUAAGAUGCACGGUAAUUUUUUGUCAUAACAGCGUGAAUGCACAUAAAAUAAAUACGCAUUUGCGCUGCUACAACAAGGAAUUGCCGCGAGUGUACGGGAAUGCGUACUUGCGCACCACGCAGUUAUGUGAUCCUUAUCAUAUGUAUAGUAUAUUGUACAAUAAAUGUUAUAACAGUUAAGUUGUAUUGUUAGGUCUUUUUUAAUCAUAAUUUUCUUCCUUCAUUCCUGCUGACAGUUGGGGCAGAGACUGUCAUACGCUCUGGGUAACACUCACAGCCAGAUGCCGCGCUACAGUGAAAGAUUUACAAAUGUGACAAAAGGUCUUCUGUUUGUCCAUUAAUUCCUACAUAGAGUUUUAAUCCCGUUUACAUGAAAAGCUGUACUUAUUGUGUCCCUGACUAUUCCAAAUUUCUUUUUGCAGCAAACUGACAAACCGAAUAAGCCCAGGACACUGGAAAAUACUUGAAAAACAUGGAUGUUCCUCAACAGAUUGGUUCUGUGGACUGUGGUGCGUUCAUGUUGAUUGUUGUCACGGAUCGGGGAAGCAGGAGCAGGAAGACGGAGAAUCGGGAAACAAAGGAUUUAUUGGGGAAACCAGCUAGGAACACGGGGCAAUAGAAGUAGCGACUUAAAUGACAGGACUGGGGAAACAUAAUUUGACGCGGAGUUAAAUACGCGGAGCAGUGGACGAGCGCCCAAGACAACUGUAAGACAGACCACCUUGAAUUGUUGGACGUAACACUUGUGAUACAGAGAAUGUAUUGAAGUUUUUCCCCCUUCCUCUCCCUUUUAUCAGUAUGCACUCUGCAUGGCCUUGGUGUGUCUUGAGUAUUACAAAAUGCACCAUGAACUGUCUAUAUUAUAUAUCUAUAUUAUAUUUUUAUUUAUGUCAUAAUAUGUGAAUUUGAUCUGUUGUUUUGCAGUGAGUUGGAGGGAUUUGACAAAAACAUCCUUUUAGAAAUGCGUGAGGAAGGUCAAGACUCUGGUCUCCAGCUCACCGCUCUCUGUUACAUUUCCAUGGCCAUGUUGUCCGAUAGUAUUAUUGGAUUUUUCUAUACUAUAGUUUUUUAUGUUUAAUUAUUGCACGCUAUAUAAAUUGUUAUAAUAGUUUAUUUUUCCUUUUGAUGUGUGUGUGCUUAAAAGUAUUAAAUAUGAGUAAUAGCAAAUACAGUUUCCUCAGUAAUGUAUUUCAUGAAAUGAUAUUUUCCCAACAAAACCCAUGUAUGCAUUCAAGUCUCUUAUGGUUUGUACAUAAUAUUUGCAACAAUUGUAAAUAUUUUGCAGAAUAUGUACUACAAGCCUCUCCAGUUGCAGCCGCACCCAUAUCCAAAUUCAUAUAUGAUAUAUUUGUAUAUGUGUGUUUCAACAUUCCUAAAAACCCUUAGAUUACAUAAUAUAUCCAAAUAUAGGGAAUUUCAGUACGAGUCCUGAUGUAUUAUCCAUAAUGCUGUA
Long non-coding RNA from Brienomyrus brachyistius, 1476 nucleotides. RefSeq lists it as uncharacterized. The transcript has 3 exons. The record is from RefSeq and is a predicted model, not a curated record. Lineage: Eukaryota; Metazoa; Chordata; Actinopteri; Osteoglossiformes; Mormyridae.